AUCUGGGUAAAACAGGCAAAUUUUCAUAUACCUCUGCGUAUCCCUUUAAAUUCCUUUGAAGGUCUAGGAAGGCCUAUAUUUUAUCUCCAGCCAUUUCAUAUCAAGUGUCACAUGUGUAGCGCUGUGAAUGAAAUACCGCAGACAAUCUAGAUCAUAUAUAUAAAACAAUGACAGAAAUCCUAUUUGAACUUGUCUUUCAUUAAACAUCACAUCGCCCAGAAACGGUAGCAAAAUCAAAGUGGAAAAACAUCUUUGAUAUCAGAGGGAAAUAGAUGUUUCUACUUCAAUGCAUAUCUUGUAUUUGUGGUUUGAGUGAUUAUCCUAGGUGUCAUCCAACUCAUUGGCUUCCAUCCAACUUUAUCGGAUUCGCAAUUGACUCUGACUGAUCUCUUCGGUUUUACAGUAGGCAACAGAAAUCUAAAAUAAGAUUGAUCUCAUUCGUAACAAAUGUACUAUUUCAUGUCCUGUUUCAUCUGCUGUUGAAGACUUUCAUCAUUGGUUCGACCCGUGGUUAAAUUCAUCAGACGUAACCGUUUCACCGGUUCGUCAGGGCCCAUGAGAUUGGUCUCGAUAAUGUUGUGUCCUUUCCUCUGUUUCUACGGAUGUUGAAUUCGGCGGAAUGGCUUUACAUCUGAAUAGUAAUAUGAGAAAAGAAGGUCAGGUUAUGCAAAGGACUACAAUGACGAGCAUCAAAACAGACUACAGAGGCAAAAGUACAAGAAAGCAAGACAUCGGCGAUCACAACUGACUCAAAAACACACCCUCUCAGCACUAUAACAACGUGUGUGAAUGUUGUCACCAAUUACAUUUUUCCAUCACAGUAUGCUUGGUACCUUGCCAUGGAGGCACCGUUGACUUCACUGUUAAAGACAUGCCUGUCCUCAGAAAAUGGUGGUGCACAGUACUGCUUGAGAACUUCCACCUGGAUGGGCACGGCAGAAGGUUCCCACACUUCAUGGAGGAGGCCAAACAAAUGGCGGCUGGACUACUUCCAUCAGUCUUCAGACUGAAGCGAAAAAGAGAAGUGAAUGACGUUUCCAGUGACAGAAUACAAAUAAUAUAUUGUAUAGGCUUAAUAUUGAUUUGACUGUUUGAUUCUUUUGACAGUGAGUUGGAGCUGAUGGCUGUCAGCAUGAAGAAGCUAUAUCUUUAGGCUUCUGUAGAUUAUUUGUUAAAUAAAUUGUGUGGAAACUUAGGUGUGGUUAUUCUUCAAUGUAUAUUUAUAUCAAAUUAUGAUGGUAUACUUUACAAAAAAAUAAAUUUGAUUCAA
Molecule: long non-coding RNA, 1270 nt
Organism: Gadus chalcogrammus (walleye pollock)
Lineage: Eukaryota; Metazoa; Chordata; Actinopteri; Gadiformes; Gadidae
Exons: 3
Source: RefSeq, a predicted model, not a curated record